UUUGUCCUACGGGGCGCAGCAGUGAGGAAUAUUGGUCAAUGGGAGAGAUCCUGAACCAGCCAAGCCGCGUGAGGGAAGACGGCCCUAUGGGUUGUAAACCUCUUUUGUCGGAGAACAAAACCCGGGACGUGUCCCGGACUGCGUGUAUCCGAAGAAAAAGCAUCGGCUAACUCCGUGCCAGCAGCCGCGGUGAUACGGAGGAUGCGAGCGUUAUCCGGAUUUAUUGGGUUUAAAGGGUGCGUAGGCGGACAGUCAAGUCAGCGGUAAAAAUGCGGUGCUCAACGCCGUACAGCCGUUGAAACUGG
RNAcentral lists this ribosomal RNA (305 nucleotides) under uncultured bacterium. Its description in RNAcentral is "bacterial SSU rRNA". It matches the Rfam family "Bacterial small subunit ribosomal RNA", at positions 333 to 636 of the family's 1533-position model. The record is from RNAcentral.